UACGACUACAUAUCAGGCAUAUCAAUAAGCGGAGGAAAAGAAACUAACAAGGAUUCCCCUAGUAACGGCGAGUGAAGCGGGAAGAGCUCAAAUUUGAAAUCUUCAAGGUUCUACCUUGACGAAUUGUAGUUUAAAGAAGUGUUUUCGGUUAGAGGAGUAGUGAAAGUUCUUUGGAAUAGGACAUCAUAGAGGGUGAGAAUCCCGUAUUUGACUAUUCUUUCUAGCUUUGUGAUACACUUUCAAAGAGUCGGAUUGUUUGGGAAUGCAGUCCAAAAUGGGUGGUAAAUUUCAUCUAAAGCUAAAUAUUGGCGAGAGACCGAUAGCGAACAAGUACCGUGAGGGAAAGAUGAAAAGAACUUUGAAAAGAGAGUUAAACAGUACGUGAAAUUGUCAAAAGGGAAGCGUUUGACACCAGUGUUGUUUUUCCGAAAAUCAAUUAAAAAUAGAUUCAUGCUAAGUAGUAUUGACCUCAUCAGCUUGCUGCUUAGUUUUGGGUCAUUUAUUGAUGCACUUUUCAGGUUAACAAGUCAACAUCAAUUUCUUUUGUUGUAAAAGGGUAGAAGGAAGGUGGCUUGCGCUUCGGCUGCAAGUGUUUAUAGCCUUUAUGCCUCUGCAGGUCGGAGAGAUUGAGGUCUGCAGCGUAGAUCCUUCGGGGUUAGAUACGUUUGUGCUAAGCUAUAGCCUUGUAUAGACAACAUUGUUGACUAUGCUUCAGUCAUGUAGCUUACUCGCAUGAUAGCUAUUUUACCUACGCUUAGGAUGUUGACACACGCGCGUGCUCG
This 782-nucleotide ribosomal RNA is filed under the name uncultured Neocallimastigales. RNAcentral describes it as "partial large subunit ribosomal RNA". It matches the Rfam family "Eukaryotic large subunit ribosomal RNA", at positions 24 to 643 of the family's 3401-position model. The record is from RNAcentral. Lineage: Eukaryota; Fungi; Neocallimastigomycota; Neocallimastigomycetes; Neocallimastigales.